GUCCAAAAGCCGACGAUACAGGGUGGAGGAAGUAGAGAGCAUCGACGGUUUCCAUGGUAACUUCCCCAGUUAUGAGCUGGACCUCUUCCAGGCAGUCCUGGUAAUGACUAGAGAGCUCCCACAGUUGUCAUCUGCACCCCAGGAGCAAUCUGCUCCUUGGCAGUUGUACACUCUCCAGCCUGACCUUGACUGAAUCCACGACUGCUCAUGCCUGGUUUUUUCAUGGCAAGCCAUCAGCUGGGGUCUCGAACUGGGUGACUAUCUCAGUGGGAGUUUCCAGCAAGACGCUGAGUUGGAGUCCUUUUUAUGUAGGCUGUGCACCUUCCCUGACCUCUACUCCACGCAGUGGGAGCUGUGGUUGGAUGUGGCUUGUUCCACUGAGGUGUGUGCUGGAGGCUGCUCCCCUGUGCUGUGGUGCUGGGGGCCCUGGGACCCUUAGGAAGAGAGGCUGAGUACAAGGUGAGGGGCCUCUGAGGCUGCUGCUCUCAGGAAGGAUUAAUGUUGGCCUCCUGCGGCUAGUUGCUGAGAGUGCUCUGGUGACCAGCUCUUUUCCAGAUUCUCUGCCAUGCUGCUGUGAUGCAGCUAAGGGGAUCCUCAUUCCAGAGACUGAACAGAUGGACCACCAGAUCGCUGUGGAAUAACCCUCUUCACAUAUUAUUUAUCCCCCAACGUAUUUUUGUCAUAUUAACAGAAAAUAUGCUAAUUCAGUUGUAAUGUCACAUACUGAACUUGAAGACUAAGCUCCAUAGGUCUGUGUAUCAGCCUACAGCACAGUGCCUUGUAAUUAGGGGGUACUCAAUAGAUAUCAAUGUGUUGACUUUAAUGCUCUGAUUGCUUGGUUGCAGAAUUUGUAAAGAUUUUGGAGACUAUAGAUUGGGAUAAUCUUUGUAGGCUUUUAAAACUAGCUUAUAUUCAUUAUAGAACACAAUGGGUUUUACAAUGACAUUUUCAUGCAAGUCCAUCUCAUACUUCGAUUACAGCCACCCUCUGUCACCUGCUCGUGGCCCCCUUUCCUUUCUGCUAGUUCCUUUCCUUUUCCUAAAUGCUCUUCUGCUGUUUUCACACUGUACAUAUGUGUGUGUGUAUGUGUGUGUGCAUGUACAUAUGUGUGUGUGUACGUAUGUACGUGUGUGCAAAGCCCUCAUCCACCAAGGAAAUGCAAAUCAAAACUACAUUGAGACACAUUUGCUUCAACCAGUCAGCAACACACGCUCACCAGCAUGGUCUCCAGUGGCAGUACAGACCAUGACAUCAACAUAGCCCUUCACCACAGCAUGGACUAUUGAUAACCUCAUGUCCCUUGGUGGUAGCAGUCCAUGGAUGUCAACAUAGCUUCAGGUGUCAGCAAAAACCAAGGACAUCCACAUGACCUUCCACCGUAAUGCUGUCCAUGGACAUCAACAUGGCCUCCUAUAGGAGCACAGAUCACAUAUAUCUACGUGGUCUUUGUCCUCAGCAAGGACCAUGGACCUCAAUAGGGUCUCCAGUGGCAGUACAGAGCACAGAAACCAACAUGGUCCUUGGCUGUAGCACUGACCAUGGACACCAUCAAGGCUCUCAGUGACAGCACAGACCAUGGACACUGACAUGGCCUCCAGCGGCAACAUGGCCCAUGGGCAUCCACAUGGCCCCCUGGCUGCAGCAGGACCACGGACAUGACCCUUGGUGACAGUGCAGGUCUUGGUCAUCGACAAGGACCUCAGGCGUCAACACAGCCUGGGGCAGCAGCACGGACUACAUGGAAAAAAACGUGACCUCCAAGCGUCUGUGGGAGUCUGUCCAGGAAAUGGAUGCUGAAAACGAACCAUCCUCCAUCUCGGACAUCUUGCUAUUGCUCAGAGGCGGGGCAACUGCGUGGCUGGGCAGUGUGUUUUGGGGCAGAGCCUGUGGGAGCUCCAGGUUGCUGUACACCACCCUGUUAGCCCUACUUGGCAACAACGUUCCCCACCGUCCACCACAGCCUACUCCCACAUCUGACACCUCGGUCCCAUCUCAAGUUCUGCUGAGAUCACACUGCUCCACUCUGUUCCUCCAUCUUUCCCGUCUCUCCGUCCAGUAUUGUUCAUUGAAAUGGCACUGCAGACCAGCAGUGUGUCCUGCAGUGUUAAUUUUCUUUUUGCCCAAAAAGGCAAAUGCUCAUUACAAUGAGUCAUUGGUCUGGAUUGAAGGUUUCUGAUUUCCAAAGCACCGUAAGUACUGGACCAUCACCAAGACUUGUCUUGGAUAUCCUGUGGCUGCCCAGAAUCAGGGUGAUCUUGCAGUUAGGCAGGAUAUCCGGGGGUUGGUGGGAUGGGCAGGAUAUUUGCAAGUUCCAGUCCUCCACAUACCUUCCGUCCCUUGAUGCCCAGUGCCCCGAGGCUCACUGGGCACCACUGCGGUGCUUACAGCCUGUGGGCAGUGCCGUCUCCCUGUGUUCUCACCCAUGCAAGGCUCCACUCAUCCAUCCUUCCUUCCACUUUUUAAAAGCAUCUUCCCACAGGGCAGUGUUUGCUCGUUCUAGGGAUACUGUAGGCUCUGCAGACUCCUCCUCCGCUGUUGCGUCUCCCUUCGGCUCCUCCGUGGGUGUCUCAGGCUCCUCAGAGCUGCUCCAAGGUCUCACAACACAUGCUGGAGGCAGCUGGCACCUUCUGUCACAGCCAGGGUUCAGGCUUUCAUCCUUGGUGGCAAUGACGUGCUCCUGGAUAUGGCUCUGCAGUACUGGCUCCUCCGUGGACUACAGCAGCAUGGUGGUGGAGAAGAUGCUGGGGUGGACUGGAUCUCAGCUCUGGAUCUCAGCCCAGAUGGCGGCGGAGUUAGCCAGCUGCUGAUGGUAGUUCACCGUGCGGGCACGGCACCCUAAAGCUCUUUACAUUGCAUACUCUCUAGGUUUAAAUGUCUCUGCAGAACUCAUAAACACAAAAUGCUUGUUUUUCCAAAAAAUUUUAAGCAGAUCUGACAAAACGACACAGCCACAGACUUUGAUUUGGAGUCUUUCCAAGCCACCACUCCAUCGCUCAGGGGUUAUUGCUGCAAGCACAUGUGAAGCUGGGGUGACAUGAUUAAUUUUGAAAGAAAGGUGUUGGGAAAGAUCUGGAAGUGACUGGUGAGAAAGCAGUGUCUGUGCUCAUGUCUCGUCAUGCCUUGGAAGGGGCCGUACUCUGUAGGUACCCUGUGCAUCUCAGAUCUUUAGAAUAGAGAGGCUGAUGUUCCUGCCUGGCUGGCUGGGCUGUGGGUCAGCAGGGAGCCUCAUGGCCUGGCAAAGGGGGAAGAGGUCAGCAGAGUUACCCAACAAGCCUUAAGAACAAAUCAAUCUAGGCUGUUUGUGGUUCCAAAAGCCAGCAGGAACUCGCCGUGCGCUUCUCCUUGUGUGUGGUUGGGCAAUGGUUGGGAAUGAGGGCAGGGAACCUUGAAUUUAUCCCUGUCUGUGUGCAACUGGAAGACAAGAGCCAACAGUUCAAGGGUCUUAACCUCUCUUCUCAGCUCUUUUUGCAGCCAGGACCAGCAUGACACGGGAGGGGUUGCUCAAGAAAUGAGUAUCAUUGGCUUUUGACUGGAGGAGGCCAGAGGGCCAAAAGUCACGGUCUCUUGAGUGCGGUGGAAGAGGAGGACCACACAGGACACUGUGUCUUUGCCCUGAACACAAACACUGGCUUGGAGAGAGAGGAGGCAGCUUGCAUCUAUCUGCCUGUCACCACUUGGACCCGUCCUCUAGAAAAGGGGGCAUGGACCCUGCUCCUGGACUGUAGCCCAGGGCCAGGGAGCCUGUCCCACUUUCUGCUAGUGAGAAACAGAAUAAAUACCUAUUCAUACCAGCAGAAUGGAGCUGUGCCUUCUAGGGGGAGGGAAGAAGGGCCAGUGUACUAAGACAACCAUGGCGACCGCCUUGUGUAAAACGAUUAAAAUUUGUCUUGUUUAA
Long non-coding RNA from Mesocricetus auratus (golden hamster), 3895 nucleotides. RefSeq lists it as uncharacterized. Lineage: Eukaryota; Metazoa; Chordata; Mammalia; Rodentia; Cricetidae. The transcript has 2 exons. The record is from RefSeq and is a predicted model, not a curated record.